RNAcentral lists this ribosomal RNA (253 nucleotides) under uncultured bacterium. RNAcentral describes it as "partial 16S ribosomal RNA". It matches the Rfam family "Bacterial small subunit ribosomal RNA", at positions 524 to 776 of the family's 1533-position model. The record is from RNAcentral.
UACAGAGGUCCCAAGCGUUGUUCGGAUUCACUGGGCGUAAAGGGUGCGUAGGCGGUCGGGUAAGUCUGACGUGAAAUCCCCGAGCCUAACUCGGAAACUGCGUCGGAUACUAUUCGGCUAGAGGAAUGGAGGGGAGACUGGAAUUCUCGGUGUAGCAGUGAAAUGCGUAGAUAUCGAGAGGAACACCAGUGGCGAAGGCGAGUCUCUGGACAUUUCCUGACGCUGAGGCACGAAAGCCAGGGGAGCAAACGGG